Nannospalax galili (Upper Galilee mountains blind mole rat) is the source of this 584-nucleotide non-coding RNA. Lineage: Eukaryota; Metazoa; Chordata; Mammalia; Rodentia; Spalacidae. The record is from the annotation of a RefSeq genome assembly.
AAAUUUGGCAACCUCCAGGCCUGUAGAGACACCAUCUCAGCAUUUGGACAGGAGCCAUGGAAAGGAGACUUGAAAUUGUGCUAGGCCUUCUGUGGGUGCAGGUUUGCUGGGUGACAGGGAUGCAGGUGGAGCAGCGUCCUUCAGUCCUGAGUCUCCAGGAGGGUGCCAACUCUGUGAGAUGCAAUUUUUCUACCACCACAACCAAUGUGCAGUGGUUCCAGCAGAAUUCUAGGGGCAGUCUCAUCAGUCUGUUCUACAUGGCUCCAGGGACAAAGGAGAAUGGGAGGUUAAAGUCAACAUUUGAUUCUAAGGAGCUCUAUACCACCCUGCACAUCAGAGAUGCCCAACUGGAAGACUCAGACACCUACUUCUGUGCAGGGAGGGCACAGUGCUCCGAGCCAGCCUGCAACCUGGUACCAAACCACAGGUGGGUCUGCAGCUGCAGCCCUCAUCGUGGUGAGAAGCUGCAGGAAUGUUUGCACAUCUGUGGGUUUCCUGGUUUAAGCUGUAUCACCUUCAUCUCUGCUAACAUUAGACAAUCGUGGACUUUAAUUUCACCUAGCUUUUAACCUUUUUCCUUUCUG